Molecule: ribosomal RNA, 1311 nt
Filed under: Paenarthrobacter sp.
Lineage: Bacteria; Bacillati; Actinomycetota; Actinomycetes; Micrococcales; Micrococcaceae
Description: bacterial SSU rRNA
Rfam family: Bacterial small subunit ribosomal RNA
Source: RNAcentral
GCGAACGGGUGAGUAACACGUGAGUAACCUGCCCUUGACUCUGGGAUAAGCCUGGGAAACUGGGUCUAAUACCGGAUACGACUAUCUGACGCAUGUCAUGGUGGUGGAAAGCUUUUGCGGUUUUGGAUGGACUCGCGGCCUAUCAGCUUGUUGGUGGGGUAAUGGCCUACCAAGGCGACGACGGGUAGCCGGCCUGAGAGGGUGACCGGCCACACUGGGACUGAGACACGGCCCAGACUCCUACGGGAGGCAGCAGUGGGGAAUAUUGCACAAUGGGCGAAAGCCUGAUGCAGCGACGCCGCGUGAGGGAUGACGGCCUUCGGGUUGUAAACCUCUUUCAGUAGGGAAGAAGCGAAAGUGACGGUACCUGCAGAAGAAGCGCCGGCUAACUACGUGCCAGCAGCCGCGGUAAUACGUAGGGCGCAAGCGUUAUCCGGAAUUAUUGGGCGUAAAGAGCUCGUAGGCGGUUUGUCGCGUCUGCUGUGAAAGACCGGGGCUCAACUCCGGUUCUGCAGUGGGUACGGGCAGACUAGAGUGCAGUAGGGGAGACUGGAAUUCCUGGUGUAGCGGUGAAAUGCGCAGAUAUCAGGAGGAACACCGAUGGCGAAGGCAGGUCUCUGGGCUGUAACUGACGCUGAGGAGCGAAAGCAUGGGGAGCGAACAGGAUUAGAUACCCUGGUAGUCCAUGCCGUAAACGUUGGGCACUAGGUGUGGGGGACAUUCCACGUUUUCCGCGCCGUAGCUAACGCAUUAAGUGCCCCGCCUGGGGAGUACGGCCGCAAGGCUAAAACUCAAAGGAAUUGACGGGGGCCCGCACAAGCGGCGGAGCAUGCGGAUUAAUUCGAUGCAACGCGAAGAACCUUACCAAGGCUUGACAUGAACCGGAAAGACCUGGAAACAGGUGCCCCGCUUGCGGUCGGUUUACAGGUGGUGCAUGGUUGUCGUCAGCUCGUGUCGUGAGAUGUUGGGUUAAGUCCCGCAACGAGCGCAACCCUCGUUCUAUGUUGCCAGCGCGUUAUGGCGGGGACUCAUAGGAGACUGCCGGGGUCAACUCGGAGGAAGGUGGGGACGACGUCAAAUCAUCAUGCCCCUUAUGUCUUGGGCUUCACGCAUGCUACAAUGGCCGGUACAAAGGGUUGCGAUACUGUGAGGUGGAGCUAAUCCCAAAAAGCCGGUCUCAGUUCGGAUUGGGGUCUGCAACUCGACCCCAUGAAGUCGGAGUCGCUAGUAAUCGCAGAUCAGCAACGCUGCGGUGAAUACGUUCCCGGGCCUUGUACACACCGCCCGUCAAGUCACGAAAGUUGGUAACAC